RNAcentral lists this ribosomal RNA (486 nucleotides) under uncultured bacterium. RNAcentral's name for it is "partial 16S ribosomal RNA". It matches the Rfam family "Bacterial small subunit ribosomal RNA", at positions 30 to 507 of the family's 1533-position model. The record is from RNAcentral.
AUUGAACGCUGGCGGCAUGCCUUACACAUGCGAGUCGAACGGCAGCAUGGGUGCUUGCACCUGGUGGCGAGUGGCGAACGGGUGAGUAAUACAUCGGAACAUGUCCUGUAGUGGGGGAUAGCCCGGCGAAAGCCGGAUUAAUACCGCAUACGAUCCACGGAUGAAAGCGGGGGACCUUCGGGCCUCGCGCUAUAGGGUUGGCCGAUGGCUGAUUAGCUAGUUGGUGGGGUAAAGGCCUACCAAGGCGACGAUCAGUAGCUGGUCUGAGAGGACGACCAGCCACACUGGGACUGAGACACGGCCCAGACUCCUACGGGAGGCAGCAGUGGGGAAUUUUGGACAAUGGGCGAAAGCCUGAUCCAGCAAUGCCGCGUGUGUGAAGAAGGCCUUCGGGUUGUAAAGCACUUUUGUCCGGAAAGAAAUCCUUGACUCUAAUACAGUCGGGGGAUGGCGGUACCGGAAGAAUAAGCACCGGCUAACUACGUG